Molecule: long non-coding RNA, 2044 nt
Organism: Ailuropoda melanoleuca (giant panda)
Lineage: Eukaryota; Metazoa; Chordata; Mammalia; Carnivora; Ursidae
Exons: 3
Source: RefSeq, a predicted model, not a curated record
UGCCCCUCUUUGAUACCAUUUCCCUGUGUGUGCUGUGAGUCAUGGCCACACCAGGCGACAGACGCCAGCUGGAACAGAGGCUUUCUCUAGAGGAGCCGAACCAGCAAUUUCUACCUGUGUCCAGGCUCGAGGUCAGGAAGUGAGCCCUGCGAAUCCCAUCUUUCUGAUUUCUAGACACACAGGAACAAACAGAUGUAGGCAGCAAGCCAUUCCCGACUCUCAGUUUUCCACUUUCUUUCUGAACUGUUAAUGGAUUCCUAAAUAAUGCAUCCUCUCUGUUAGAAGAAUCAUAAAGGAAUCACAAAAUGAUAACAGGGUAGCCCUGGUCCCUUCGCUGCCUCCUCCUUUUUGAACUGGUUUGGCAGGAAGGGACACUACUUGGAAAGCUUAAAAGGGGGUCGAGCUUCCCUAUUUACCUGUGUCCUGCAUGGCUGGUGUCUUACUGAUUGAAAAUGCAAAUUUCCAGGGUUGAGAUUCUGUCAGUUGUAUGUGAUUUCUUGAGUUAUAUGUCCCCUCGCUGUGGAUGAUCUCGGCCCAGUGUCUUGUUCUUACGCUGACCUCAUUUGCGUUAAUUCUUCUGGCUGCAAUAAUACUUAGUAUUUUUUGUGGUGCAUUUUGGUGAGGAGACAGGCACAGACACAUUGGGUUUCAUCAUCUGUAUUCCUCAAGAUAUUUAAGGUAUACAACAGGGGGAAAGAGUGGACCCCAACCAUUAAUAGACGUGAUCCCUGGGCUUUGUAACCAUGUGAAAUAAAAAGCGUGCAUAUGUGUGAAAUUCGGGCACAUUCUUUUCUCUAUGGAUAAAAGCUACCAUUCACUGGGUGCUUAAUACAAUCCAGCAGAAUGUUAAUGUUUUAUACGCACGAGCUCAUUUAAUCCCUACAACAGGUCCUGGAGACGGGCUGUUACCAUCUCCAUUUCACCGUUGGAGCCGCCAGUGCUGGCAAAGUUGAAGGGAUUGCUCACGGUUCACAUGGCUGGGAGGUGAGGCAGGGUUUCAACCCAGAUCUGUCUAGCGUAGAGCCAGGACUCUUAACCUCUUCGUGCUACGUGUAGCUAGAGAAGCCCUUGGACCUCUUCGUAGACUAAUGUGUUUAAAUUCAAAAAAUAAAAUACAAAGAAUCGCAAAGAAAAGCAAUUGUAUCGAAACAUAGUUGUCAAUUGUGAUAUGCGGCCUUGGGGGUGACCCUCAGUGGUCCUGCUUUUGGUAUUUGUACCCUCGAUGAAUUCCCUCCUUUCGGGGGUGAGCUGGACCCAGUAUAAUGACUCAUUUCUAAUGACAAAACAUGACAGAAAUGAUGGGAUGUCACCUCUGGGAUUAGGUUAUAAAAAUGCUGGCUUCUCGGGUGUGUUUGCUUGCUCUCCCUCAGGUCACUUUUUACAGCAGGGAGCCAACUGCUCUGUCCUGGGGCAGCUCCAUGCAGAGGCCCAUGUGGCAAGGGACUCAGACUUGCCCACGACCACAUGCGUGCGCUUGGAAGCAGAUUCGGCCCCGUUCAGCCUCAAGAAGUCUGAGACCCUGGCUGAUACCUUGAUUCUGCGGCCGUGAGAGAACCUGAUCCAGAACUGCCUGGCUAAGCUACACCCGAAUUCCUGACCACGCACACCGUGAAAUAUUAUUCCCAAGGACAAAAAGGUGGUGUUGCUCUUCCUGGCCAUAAGUUUCUGAUAACGAGGAAGAUGUGGCGACUCAUUGCCCAACAUUACAAGAAGCUUUUGGACAUCACUGAUUAAGAAACUACGCUGACUCCAUACGGAGAUGGGGAAGUGACUGUUUUACGGUGUGACUUACUGGUAGCCAAAAGGAUGUUUCAACUUGGGUACUCUGUUGGGGUUUAUUUUCUUUGUUGGAACCGUAAUUCUUUUUCAGAUGUGGGUAACGAUGAUCACUUAAAUGAAGGCAUGAAAGUCUGAGACUGCAUUAUAGACCUUCCAAUACUUUCCUUGUGAGGAAAACAAUGAAGAUGAUACGGCAUGGGGUUUACUUUAUGGACACUGGAUUUUAGUUUCCGUCAUACUGCUGUGCAAGUCUUGCUUAUACUGG